Non-coding RNA from Pelobates cultripes (western spadefoot toad), 226 nucleotides. The record is from the annotation of a GenBank genome assembly. NCBI's taxonomy places the organism in Eukaryota, Metazoa, Chordata, Amphibia, Anura, Pelobatidae.
AUUUAUAGUGUAUGUGCAGUGGAUGUAGUGUGUAUAGUGUAUGCAGAGUGUGUGUUUGUGCAGUGGAUGUAGUGUGUAUGUGCAGUGGAUGUAGUGUGUAUAGUGUGUGCAGAGUGUGUGUUUGUGCAGUGGAUGUAGUGUGUAUACAGAGUGUGUGUUUGUGCAGUGGAUGUAGUGUGUAUACAGAGUGUGUGUUUGUGCAGUGGAUGUAUAAGGAAUGCAAAGU